This 497-nucleotide ribosomal RNA is filed under the name uncultured bacterium. Its description in RNAcentral is "partial 16S ribosomal RNA". It matches the Rfam family "Bacterial small subunit ribosomal RNA", at positions 28 to 507 of the family's 1533-position model. The record is from RNAcentral.
GAUGAACGCUGGCGGCGUGCCUAAUACAUGCAAGUCGAGCGAACAGAUGAGGAGCUUGCUCCUCUGACGUUAGCGGCGGACGGGUGAGUAACACGUGGAUAACCUACCUAUAAGACUGGGAUAACUUCGGGAAACCGGAGCUAAUACCGGAUAAUAUAUUGAACCGCAUGGUUCAAUAGUGAAAGACGGUUUUGCUGUCACUUAUAGAUGGAUCCGCGCCGCAUUAGCUAGUUGGUAAGGUAACGGCUUACCAAGGCAACGAUGCGUAGCCGACCUGAGAGGGUGAUCAGCCACACUGGAACUGAGACACGGUCCAGACUCCUACGGGAGGCAGCAGUAGGGAAUCUUCCGCAAAGGGCGAAAGCCUGACGGAGCAACGCCGCGUGAGUGAUGAAGGUCUUCGGAUCGUAAAACUCUGUUAUUAGGGAAGAACAAAUGUGUAAGUAACUAUGCACGUCUUGACGGUACCUAAUCAGAAAGCCACGGCUAACUACGUG